Molecule: ribosomal RNA, 465 nt
Filed under: Vreelandella stevensii
Lineage: Bacteria; Pseudomonadati; Pseudomonadota; Gammaproteobacteria; Oceanospirillales; Halomonadaceae
Description: partial 16S ribosomal RNA
Rfam family: Bacterial small subunit ribosomal RNA
Source: RNAcentral
CCUACGGGCGGCAGCAGUGGGGAAUAUUGGACAAUGGGGGCAACCCUGAUCCAGCCAUGCCGCGUGUGUGAAGAAGGCCCUCGGGUUGUAAAGCACUUUCAGUGAGGAAGAACGCCUGGUGGUUAAUACCCAUCAGGAAAGACAUCACUCACAGAAGAAGCACCGGCUAACUCCGUGCCAGCAGCCGCGGUAAUACGGAGGGUGCGAGCGUUAAUCGGAAUUACUGGGCGUAAAGCGCGCGUAGGUGGCUUGAUAAGCCGGUUGUGAAAGCCCCGGGCUCAACCUGGGAACGGCAUCCGGAACUGUCAAGCUAGAGUGCAGGAGAGGAAGGUAGAAUUCCCGGUGUAGCGGUGAAAUGCGUAGAGGUCGGGAGGAAUACCAGUGGCGAAGGCGGCCUUCUGGACUGACACUGACACUGAGGUGCGAAAGCGUGGGUAGCAAACAGGAUUAGAUACCCUUGUAGUC